UGCGGUUAGACUGAGCCCUUUGUGUAUAAUAAGGGGUGCUUAUUAUAUUAUAACCUUGUCUUAAUUGGUAGAAAACAAAAAUAUGCUAUAUCAAUAUAAUAAGCAAAAAGCAAGUAAUAAAAUAGGAUUAGAGACCCUAGUAUUUUUGUAGGCUAUACCUUAUUAUUAAGCUUAAAAUAAGAAUAUUUGGCGGCUCUAAGUUAUUAGAGGGGCUUGUUAAUAAACGAUAACCCGCGAUUAUUUUUACUUAAUUUAAUUUUGUAUACCUUCAUAUAGAUUAUCUUUUAUAGUCAAUAAUUAUAAAAAAUAGAUCAAGGUGCAGAAACUUUUAAGCUAUAUUAGCCACAAUACUUACUAGUAAACGAAGAAUUAAGCUAUCAGGCGGAUUUAAUUUUAAUUAUUAUAUUUAUGAAUUACUCCUAAAGGUCAGAUC
RNAcentral lists this ribosomal RNA (433 nucleotides) under Hyalella sp. 1 IHT-2021a. RNAcentral describes it as "partial small subunit ribosomal RNA". The record is from RNAcentral. Lineage: Eukaryota; Metazoa; Arthropoda; Malacostraca; Amphipoda; Hyalellidae.